CCCAGACUCCUACGGGAGGCAGCAGUGGGGGAUAUUGCACAAUGGGGGGAACCCUGAUGCAGCGACGCCGCGUGGGUGAAGGAGCGUUUCGGCGCGUAAAGCCCUAUCGGCAGGGAAGAAGGAGGACGGUACCUGACUAAGAAGCCCCGGCUAACUACGUGCCAGUAGCCGCGGUAAUACGUAGGGGGCAAGCGUUAUCCGGAUUUACUGGGUGUAAAGGGGGCGCAGACGGCAGCGCAAGCCAGGAGUGAAAGCCCGGGGCCCAACCCCGGGACUGCUCUUGGAACUGCACGGCUGGAGUGCAGGAGGGGCAGGCGGAAUUCCUGGUGUAGCGGUGAAAUGCGUAGAUAUCAGGAGGAACACCGGUGGCGAAGGCGGCCUGCUGGACUGCGACUGACGUUGAGGCCCGAAAGCGUGGGGAGCAAACAGGAUUAGAUACCCGGGUAA
RNAcentral lists this ribosomal RNA (447 nucleotides) under uncultured bacterium. RNAcentral's name for it is "partial 16S ribosomal RNA". It matches the Rfam family "Bacterial small subunit ribosomal RNA", at positions 330 to 793 of the family's 1533-position model. The record is from RNAcentral.